Molecule: long non-coding RNA, 489 nt
Organism: Pelobates fuscus (common spadefoot toad)
Lineage: Eukaryota; Metazoa; Chordata; Amphibia; Anura; Pelobatidae
Exons: 4
Source: RefSeq, a predicted model, not a curated record
CCUUUACAUCAGCUAUGUGUCAUGUGAGGGGAAUUAAAGGGAAUUGUACAGUAAAGUUAUAAAACGCCAUUACUUUCACUUUGCAUACACAGAGAGCUUGAUAACAGAUUGCUGGGAUCUGUCCACUUGUGCCAAGAAAUUCGCUUUAGCUCAGGGUGUAACAGCAGGCGAAUGUGAAAUCUUUGCUUUGUGCUAAAGUCAACAGUAGCAUUGAGAGUCCCAAUAAAUUCAGUGUGGUGCCCAGACUGACUGCAGCUUCAAUCGUCUGCUUGCUGGUGUCACCAUCUACUAAUCCACAGCAGAGGUAUCAGGUUCUGCACCUGAGAAUCUAGACAAUGCUACACUUAAGGCAACAUGAAGUGCUCUGCCACGUCAUCUUAUUGUACAUAAAGUGGUACUGACGAAUGACGAUGCUAACUCUGUGCGGCUCAAGAUGUUGCCAUGUGCUCCAAGUUCAUUUGAAAGAACCAAAAAAAAGAAUAAAAUGGA